UUGAACGCUGGCGGCAGGCCUAACACAUGCAAGUCGAGCGGAUGAAGGGAGCUUGCUCCUGGAUUCAGCGGCGGACGGGUGAGUAAUGCCUAGGAAUCUGCCUGGUCGUGGGGGAUAACGUCCGGAAACGGGCGCUAAUACCGCAUACGUCCUGAGGGAGAAAGUGGGGGAUCUUCGGACCUCACGCUAUCAGAUGAGCCUAGGUCGGAUUAGCUAGUUGGUGGGGUAAAGGCCUACCAAGGCGACGAUCCGUAACUGGUCUGAGAGGAUGAUCAGUCACACUGGAACUGAGACACGGUCCAGACUCCUACGGGAGGCAGCAGUGGGGAAUAUUGGACAAUGGGCGAAAGCCUGAUCCAGCCAUGCCGCGUGUGUGAAGAAGGUCUUCGGAUUGGAAAGCACGUUAAGUGGGGAGGAAGGGCAGUAAGUUAAUACCUUGCUGUUUUGACGUUACCAACAGAAUAAGCACCGCCUAACUUCGUG
RNAcentral lists this ribosomal RNA (483 nucleotides) under uncultured bacterium. RNAcentral's name for it is "partial 16S ribosomal RNA". It matches the Rfam family "Bacterial small subunit ribosomal RNA", at positions 30 to 507 of the family's 1533-position model. The record is from RNAcentral.